RNAcentral lists this ribosomal RNA (305 nucleotides) under uncultured bacterium. RNAcentral describes it as "bacterial SSU rRNA". It matches the Rfam family "Bacterial small subunit ribosomal RNA", at positions 333 to 635 of the family's 1533-position model. The record is from RNAcentral.
UUAGCCCUACGGGGCGCAGCAGUGAGGAAUAUUGGUCAAUGGGAGAGAUCCUGAACCAGCCAAGCCGCGUGAGGGAAGACGGCCCUAUGGGUUGUAAACCUCUUUUGUCGGAGAACAAAACCCGGGACGAGUCCCGGACUGCGUGUAUCCGAAGAAAAAGCAUCGGCUAACUCCGUGCCAGCAGCCGCGGUAAUACGGAGGAUGCGAGCGUUAUCCGGAUUUAUUGGGUUUAAAGGGAGCGCAGGCGGCUUGGCAAGUCUGAUGUGAAAGGCUGGGGCUCAACCCCAGGACGGCAUUGGAAACUG